Long non-coding RNA from Dreissena polymorpha, 207 nucleotides. RefSeq lists it as uncharacterized. NCBI's taxonomy places the organism in Eukaryota, Metazoa, Mollusca, Bivalvia, Myida, Dreissenidae. The transcript has 3 exons. The record is from RefSeq and is a predicted model, not a curated record.
UAAUAGUACUUGCUGACAUGAGGCAUAUCGGGUCUCAGUGUAAUAGUACUUGCUGACAUGAGGCAUAUCAGGUCUCAGUGUAAUAGUACUUGCUGACAUGAGGCAUAUCAGGUCUCAGUGUAAUAGUACUUGCUGACAUGAGGCAUAUCAGGUCUCAGUGUAAUAGUACUUGCUUAAAUUUGAGCUAUGCUCUGUAAAAAGGGGGCA